AUCACCAGCAUGAUGAAGUAUUUUGCGGAUGUAAAAGGGUUCAUCGCACAUGCGAGAGCCCCGUUUACCGAGAGCGCAUAAAAAUCGUGUGGAUCUUUCCGCUGCCUUCCUUCUGAUUUGGUGA
This 124-nucleotide small nucleolar RNA is filed under the name Ceraceosorus bombacis. Its description in RNAcentral is "Small nucleolar RNA Z13/snr52". It matches the Rfam family "Small nucleolar RNA Z13/snr52". Rfam says of the family: Z13 or snr52 is a member of the C/D class of snoRNA which contain the C (UGAUGA) and D (CUGA) box motifs. Most of the members of the box C/D family function in directing site-specific 2'-O-methylation of substrate RNAs. The record is from Rfam by way of RNAcentral. Lineage: Eukaryota; Fungi; Basidiomycota; Exobasidiomycetes; Ceraceosorales; Ceraceosoraceae.